This is a long non-coding RNA of Esox lucius (northern pike), 448 nucleotides long. RefSeq lists it as uncharacterized. The record is from RefSeq and is a predicted model, not a curated record. NCBI's taxonomy places the organism in Eukaryota, Metazoa, Chordata, Actinopteri, Esociformes, Esocidae. The transcript is spliced from 4 exons.
GGGCUCAGGUCUGGCUUAGAGGGAAGGUGAGCCAACUAGAGGAACAAAUCCAGUUCCAGAUACAAACCCAACUUAAAGGACACACUUAUCCAUGUCACACCUCCACCACCAACCCAUAGCGGCACCCAGCUGCCCAACCUCCAGGAGCUGGGUGUGGAGUACUCCCAGAUGGCGGUCAGGGUGUGGCAGGAGGCGGCUGUGCUGUAUCAGGUCCAGGUUCUCUAUCAUUUAACCACUAUACGUAGCCGCUAAAUUCUUAUACUGGAAAAUGGGCUGAUCUGGACAUGGAUUGGUGUUGAGAUGGAUUCACUUCUGACAAGUCCAGUUCUUCCAUGGUGCAUCAGAGAAUAAAAUCAGUGCUGACUGGAGGAAAAGAAGAAAAUGCUCUAUGAUAUCGACCUGCACUGCUUCAAAUCCCACAUGAUUAAGUACAUACUCACAGACACUG